This 343-nucleotide unclassified non-coding RNA is filed under the name soil metagenome. Its description in RNAcentral is "partial contains 5.8S ribosomal RNA, internal transcribed spacer 2, and large subunit ribosomal RNA". The stretch from base 1 to 120 matches the Rfam family "5.8S ribosomal RNA", at positions 35 to 154 of the family's 154-position model. The record is from RNAcentral.
GAUGAAGAACGCAGCGAAAUGCGAUAAGUAAUGUGAAUUGCAGAAUUCAGUGAAUCAUCGAAUCUUUGAACGCACAUUGCGCCCGCUAGUAUUCUGGCGGGCAUGCCUGUCCGAGCGUCAUUUCAACCCUCAAGCCCCCGGGCUUGGUGUUGGGGAUCGGCGAGCCUCCGCGCCCGCCGUCCCCUAAAUCUAGUGGCGGUCUCGCUGUAGCUUCCUCUGGGUAGUAGCACACCUCGCACUGGGAAACAGCGCGGCCACGCCGUUAAACCCCCAACUUCUGAACGUUUGACCUCGGAUCAGGUAGGAAUACCCGCUGAACUUAAGCAUAUCAAUAAGCGGAGGA